CCUACGGGGGGCUGCAGUAGGGAAUAUUGGACAAUGGGCGAAAGCCUGAUCCAGCAACGCCGCGUGCACGAUGAAGGUCUUCGGAUUGUAAAGUGCUUUUAAGGGAGAUGAGAAAGGACAGUAUCCCUUGAAUAAGCCUCGGCGAACUACGUGCCAGCAGCCGCGGUAAAACGUAGGAGGCAAGCGUUAUCCGGAUUUAUUGGGCGUAAAGCGCGUGCAGGCUGUUUGGAAAGUUGGAUGUGAAAGCUCCUGGCUUAACUGGGAGAGGUCGUUCAAAACUACCAAACUAGAGAAUGGGAGAGGGAAGUGGAAUUCCGGGUGUAGUGGUGAAAUGCGUAGAUAUCCGGAGGAACACCAGUGGCGAAAGCGGCUUCCUAGACCAUUUCUGACGCUUAGACGCGAAAGCUAGGGGAGCGAACGGGAUUAGAUACCCCGGUAGUC
This 441-nucleotide ribosomal RNA is filed under the name uncultured Longilinea sp. RNAcentral describes it as "bacterial SSU rRNA". It matches the Rfam family "Bacterial small subunit ribosomal RNA", at positions 338 to 795 of the family's 1533-position model. The record is from RNAcentral. Lineage: Bacteria; Bacillati; Chloroflexota; Anaerolineae; Anaerolineales; Anaerolineaceae.